CACGUAGGGUGCGAGCGUUGUCCGGAAUUAUUGGGCGUAAAGAGCUCGUAGGCGGUGUGUCGCGUCGGCCGUGAAAACCUGCAGCUUAACUGUGGGCGUGCGGUCGAUACGGGCAUCACUGGAGUUCGGCAGGGGAGACUGGAAUUCCUGGUGUAGCGGUGAAAUGCGCAGAUAUCAGGAGGAACACCGGUGGCGAAGGCGGCAUCCUGGACCAAUUCUGACACUGAGGAGCGAAAGCCAGGGGAGCAAACGGG
This 254-nucleotide ribosomal RNA is filed under the name uncultured bacterium. Its description in RNAcentral is "partial 16S ribosomal RNA". It matches the Rfam family "Bacterial small subunit ribosomal RNA", at positions 524 to 776 of the family's 1533-position model. The record is from RNAcentral.